AUUGAACGCUGGCGGCAUGCCUUACACAUGCAAGUCGAACGGAAGCGGGCCUCUGGCUCCCGUCUUGUGGCGCACGGGUGUGAAAUACACCUAGACGUGUCCGUUCGUGUGGGAGAACGCGUCCGAAACCUUGCUAUUACCCCAUACACUCUCUGGGGGAAAGCGGGGGGGCGCAUCGCCCUUCACGCACUCAGCGGCGGAUGGCGCAUUAGGUAGUUUGUGGGAUAAAAGCGUAUCAAGCCGACGAUCUGUAACUGGGCUGAGAGGAUGAUCAGCCACACUGGGACUGAGACACGGCCCAGACUCCUACGGGAGGCAGCAGUGGGGAAUAUUGGACAAUGGGCGAAAGCCUGAUCCAGCCAUGCCGCGUGUAGGAUGAAGGACUUCGGAUUGUAAACCGCUUUUGUACGGGAAGAAGAGCCUUAAGUUAAUACAGGGCGGUCAUGACGGUACCAAAAGAAUAAGCACCGGCUAACUACGUG
Molecule: ribosomal RNA, 482 nt
Filed under: uncultured bacterium
Lineage: Bacteria
Description: partial 16S ribosomal RNA
Rfam family: Bacterial small subunit ribosomal RNA
Source: RNAcentral